This 281-nucleotide unclassified non-coding RNA is filed under the name air metagenome. RNAcentral's name for it is "partial contains small subunit ribosomal RNA, internal transcribed spacer 1, and 5.8S ribosomal RNA". The stretch from base 1 to 46 matches the Rfam family "Eukaryotic small subunit ribosomal RNA", at positions 1786 to 1831 of the family's 1831-position model. The record is from RNAcentral.
AAGUCGUAACAAGGUUUCCGUAGGUGAACCUGCGGAAGGAUCAUUAAUGAAUUACAAGUCGGUCGUCUGUGCUGGCGGAAACGCAUGUGCACGUCGAUCGCAAAUCCACACACCUGUGCACCCUUGACUCUGAGAUUCGCUUGUUGGCUUGUCUGGCUUGCAGUCGGUCGACUUUGGUUGACCUGGAUCUGGGAGUAUUUUUACACACUCUGAAUGUAAUGGAAUGUCUAUGUGCAUAACGCGCAAAAUAACAACUUUCAACAACGGAUCUCUUGGCUCUC